This 499-nucleotide ribosomal RNA is filed under the name uncultured bacterium. RNAcentral describes it as "partial 16S ribosomal RNA". It matches the Rfam family "Bacterial small subunit ribosomal RNA", at positions 899 to 1397 of the family's 1533-position model. The record is from RNAcentral.
ACUCAAAUGAAUUGACGGGGACCCGCACAAGCAGUGGAGCAUGUGGUUUAAUUCGAAGCAACGCGAAGAACCUUACCAGGACUUGACAUCCUUUGACCACUCUAGAGAUAGAGCUUUCCCUUUCGGGGGACAAAGUGACAGGUGGUGCAUGGUUGUCGUCAGCUCGUGUCGUGAGAUGUUGGGUUAAGUCCCGCAACGAGCGCAACCCUUAAUCUUAGUUGCCAGCAUUCAGUUGGGCACUCUAAGGUGACUGCCGGUGACAAACCGGAGGAAGGUGGGGAUGACGUCAAAUCAUCAUGCCCCUUAUGUCCUGGGCUACACACGUGCUACAAUGGGCAGUACAAAGGGUAGCGAAGCCGCGAGGUGGAGCCAAUCCCAUAAAGCUGCUCUCAGUUCGGAUUGCAGGCUGCAACUCGCCUGCAUGAAGCCGGAAUUGCUAGUAAUCGCGGAUCAGCAUGCCGCGGUGAAUACGUUCCCGGGUCUUGUACACACCGCCCGU